This is a long non-coding RNA of Alligator mississippiensis (American alligator), 962 nucleotides long. RefSeq lists it as uncharacterized. The transcript has 2 exons. Lineage: Eukaryota; Metazoa; Chordata; Crocodylia; Alligatoridae. The record is from RefSeq and is a predicted model, not a curated record.
GCCAGCUGAAGUCACCUGAUGCAAGCAAUAAUCAAAGAGGUUAAACAAGAGCCUGUGCAGGAGAGUUGGCAGCAACCAGAGAGGAAACCACUGAACAGACCAGCGACUGGAGGCAGCUGCCCCAGGACCUGCACCCCAUACACAGAAGGAGCAAGUGCGGGAGAGCUCGAGCAACAGACAGAGCCUUUGGGAGCCGGGUACUUGGAGCAAAUCUAAGGAAGCCAUGUCUCCAAGAGAUGCCUGCCCUGCCCUGCUGCUCCUCCUGCUGACCCUGCCGUCAGCCUGGCCAGCCGUGGACAGCGGGGAAAUAGGAAGCCAGAAGUUUCAAAGGCAGCACGUCGACCCAUUUACUAGGCAGCCAUAUGAUGAUGCCUACUGCAAUCGGAGGAUGAAGGCUCAGAGAAUCACCUUGGGCACCUGCAAGACCCCGAACACCUUCAUCCACGUGCCAUCAUCAUUAAUAAAUAGCAUCUGCACUGGGGCUGGGACAAAAAAACCACGAACCAAUUAUUACUACAGCAACAACAGCUUCCUUGUCACUGAGUGCACGUUUGUAAGCGGCUCCCCACCGAAUGGCUGUAAAUACAAGGCUAGGUCCUAUAAGCAGAGGAUUUGCAUCGCUUGCACUAGAAACCUGCCUGUGCACUACAGCUCAGUGAAAAAGUGCAGGCCCUGAAUCCCGCACUGCUUUGCAGCUUUUGCUCGCAGCGGGUCCCCAGGGCCAAAGCCUCUCAGCCUGGCCCUCUCCCUGCUCCCUUCUGGACCAUGAAGCCAGAUCAUUCUGUGUCCCCAAAUCUUAGUCUCCCCAUUCCAGCUCUUCUGCUGCCAUCAGGGUCUGUUGUGCACUACAGGAGGGGCCGGAUCCUGGUGCAGAGCAAGCACCCUCCUGCUGCCGAGUCCUCAGUGCUGUUACUGAGCUGAAUUUCUUGCUGCUUUCUGCAAUAAACUUUGGCAACUGCAAA